UGAGGGAGGGAAGGGGGUGACUAGUGACAGAGUGAGGGAGGGAAGGGGGUGACUAGUGACAGUCACCACCUCCUUCACUCUGUCACUGUGUCACCCCCUCCCUCACUCUGUCACUAGUCACCCCCUCCCUCACUCUGU
Pelobates cultripes (western spadefoot toad) is the source of this 138-nucleotide non-coding RNA. NCBI's taxonomy places the organism in Eukaryota, Metazoa, Chordata, Amphibia, Anura, Pelobatidae. The record is from the annotation of a GenBank genome assembly.